RNAcentral lists this ribosomal RNA (915 nucleotides) under Salmonella enterica subsp. enterica serovar Hartford. Its description in RNAcentral is "partial 23S ribosomal RNA". It matches the Rfam family "Bacterial large subunit ribosomal RNA", at positions 1243 to 2141 of the family's 2925-position model. The record is from RNAcentral. Lineage: Bacteria; Pseudomonadati; Pseudomonadota; Gammaproteobacteria; Enterobacterales; Enterobacteriaceae.
UAAGCCUGCGAAGGUGGCCUGUGAGGGUUGCUGGAGGUAUCAGAAGUGCGAAUGCUGACAUAAGUAACGAUAAAGCGGGUGAAAAGCCCGCUCGCCGGAAGACCAAGGGUUCCUGUCCAACGUUAAUCGGGGCAGGGUGAGUCGACCCCUAAGGCGAGGCCGAAAGGCGUAGUCGAUGGGAAACGGGUUAAUAUUCCCGUACUUGGUGUUACUGCGAAGGGGGGACGGAGAAGGCUAUGUUGGCCGGGCGACGGUUGUCCCGGUUUAAGCGUGUAGGUGUGUGUUCCAGGUAAAUCCGGUUCACUUUAACACUGAGGCGUGACGACGAGGCACUACGGUGCUGAAGCAACAAAUGCCCUGCUUCCAGGAAAAGCCUCUAAGCAUCAGGUAACACGAAAUCGUACCCCAAACCGACACAGGUGGUCAGGUAGAGAAUACCAAGGCGCUUGAGAGAACUCGGGUGAAGGAACUAGGCAAAAUGGUGCCGUAACUUCGGGAGAAGGCACGCUGACACGUAGGUGAAGUGAUUUACUCAUGGAGCUGAAGUCAGUCGAAGAUACCAGCUGGCUGCAACUGUUUAUUAAAAACACAGCACUGUGCAAACACGAAAGUGGACGUAUACGGUGUGACGCCUGCCCGGUGCCGGAAGGUUAAUUGAUGGGGUCAGCGCAAGCGAAGCUCCUGAUCGAAGCCCCGGUAAACGGCGGCCGUAACUAUAACGGUCCUAAGGUAGCGAAAUUCCUUGUCGGGUAAGUUCCGACCUGCACGAAUGGCGUAAUGAUGGCCAGGCUGUCUCCACCCGAGACUCAGUGAAAUUGAACUCGCUGUGAAGAUGCAGUGUACCCGCGGCAAGACGGAAAGACCCCGUGAACCUUUACUAUAGCUUGACACUGAACAUUGAGCCUUGAUGUGUAG